RNAcentral lists this ribosomal RNA (448 nucleotides) under uncultured bacterium. RNAcentral describes it as "partial 16S ribosomal RNA". It matches the Rfam family "Bacterial small subunit ribosomal RNA", at positions 330 to 792 of the family's 1533-position model. The record is from RNAcentral.
UCCAGACUCCUACGGGAGGCAGCAGUGGGGAAUAUUGCACAAUGGGCGAAAGCCUGAUGCAGCAACGCCGCGUGAAGGAAGAAGGGUUUCGGCUCGUAAACUUCUAUCAACAGGGACGAAAGAAAUGACGGUACCUGAAUAAGAAGCCCCGGCUAACUACGUGCCAGCAGCCGCGGUAAUACGUAGGGGGCAAGCGUUAUCCGGAAUUACUGGGUGUAAAGGGCGUGUAGGCGGGAAAGCAAGUCAGAUGUGAAAACCAUGGGCUCAACCUGUGGCCUGCAUUUGAAACUGUUUUUCUUGAGUACUGGAGAGGCAGACGGAAUUCCUAGUGUAGCGGUGAAAUGCGUAGAUAUCAGGAGGAACACCGGCGGCGAAGGCGGCUUACUGGACGGCAACCGACGUUGAGGCCCGAAAGCGUGGGGAGCGAACAGGAUUAGAUACCCCUGUA